UACGUUUCCUGUUUUAAGACUGAAACACAA
This 30-nucleotide non-coding RNA is filed under the name Rattus norvegicus (Norway rat). Lineage: Eukaryota; Metazoa; Chordata; Mammalia; Rodentia; Muridae. The record is from RNAcentral.